Molecule: long non-coding RNA, 841 nt
Organism: Syngnathus acus (greater pipefish)
Lineage: Eukaryota; Metazoa; Chordata; Actinopteri; Syngnathiformes; Syngnathidae
Exons: 5
Source: RefSeq, a predicted model, not a curated record
UCUUGGACCUAGAGAAUGGAAAUGCCAUAUUUGUCUUUGUCUUUUACUUUUUGACAGCUAACCUAUAUUCAAAGCAUUCUUCAUAACAGAACGCCAACGGAAAAUUCUGAGAGCAGACGAAAACCAAAGUUGAAAUAUUUGAGAGGAACACACAACACCAAUGCAUGAAGGGGAAAAAAAAGUCUUGAAACCUCCUCCAGCUGUGAUGCACGGUGCUAGGAGCAUCGUGGUAUGGGCCCGCUUUGCACACUCUGCUUGCUUCAGUCGAUGCAAAAAUGAAUUCACAAGUGUAUCAAGAUAUUUUGAAGAGGAGACGACAACGAUUUGCCAAUGAUCGCCAAGAACAGAGAGCUGACUUUGCGGCCUUUUCAUCCCGGCGUCGGCAUUCCUGCGUUGCGUCACACUUAAAGGAUUGCAACGCUUUCGGGGACGAGCCGGGCCAAAGGGAGCGCUUUCAUCGGUAGAGCCGGCGCGACGUCGGGCCGCCGUCCAGAAAGUCGGCAGCAGGUGGUCUGCACGCGUUCAAGUGGCAAAGACGCGGCGGGAUAAAUCACGGCCGAUGAGCACUACUCAACACGUUCCCAUACAGCUCCAGUUUUACGGCGUCUUCUCGGGUUUUUGGAUUCCAGAACAAGUGGACCAGAAGCAAUCUCCAAGUCCCAAACUUUUGGAGCCUCUUUUGGGAUGAAUUGUUUCCCGCCUGCCAAGCGUCUGCUGGAAGGAAGGGCGCAGAUAAGGCUGUCUCUCUUCACCCCGUUCAAGCGUCACCUCAUCACCUCGCCGUCCGGCGUCAACGACGGACGGAAGAGGCGAGCUGGGACGCCAGGGGACGGAUAGCGGG